Molecule: ribosomal RNA, 1476 nt
Filed under: uncultured bacterium
Lineage: Bacteria
Description: partial 16S ribosomal RNA
Rfam family: Bacterial small subunit ribosomal RNA
Source: RNAcentral
AGAGUUUGAUCCUGGCUCAGAACGUACGCUGGCGGCACGCCUAACACAUGCAAGUCGAACGCACUCGACCUUCGGGUCACAUGAGUGAGUGGCGAACGGGUGAGUAACACGUGAGGAACCUGCCCCGAAGACUGGAAUAACCCGAGGAAACUCGGGCUAAUACCGGAUAUCCCCACCAGGUCGCAUGGCCAGGUGAGGAAAUGCUCCGGCGCUUCGGGAGGGUCUCGCGGCCUAUCAGCUAGUUGGUGAGGUAAUGGCUCACCAAGGCAUCGACGGGUAGCUGGUCUGAGAGGACGAUCAGCCACACUGGGACUGAGACACGGCCCAGACUCCUACGGGAGGCAGCAGUGGGGAAUCUUGCGCAAUGGGCGAAAGCCUGACGCAGCCACGCCGCGUGAGGGAUGAAGGCUUUCGGGUUGUAAACCUCUUUCAGCAGGGACGAAAAUGACGGUACCUGCAGAAGAAGCUCCGGCCAACUACGUGCCAGCAGCCGCGGUAAUACAUAGGGUGCGAGCGUUGUUCGGAAUUACUGGGCGUAAAGGGCGCGCAGGCGGUUUAUUAAGUCAGAUGUGAAAGCCCCGGGCUUAACCUGGGAACUGCAUUUGAAACUGGUCAACUAGAGUAUGGUAGAGGAAAGUGGAAUUUCUGGUGUAGCGGUGAAAUGCGUAGAUAUCAGAAGGAACAUCAAUGGCGAAGGCAGCUUUCUGGACCAAUACUGACGCUGAGGUACGAAAGCGUGGGUAGCAAACAGGAUUAGAUACCCUGGUAGUCCACGCCGUAAACGAUGAUAACUAGCCGUUGGGGGGAUUUACCCCUUAGUGGCGAAGCUAACGCGUUAAGUUAUCCGCCUGGGGAGUACGGCCGCAAGGCUAAAACUCAAAGGAAUUGACGGGGACCCGCACAAGCGGUGGAGCAUGUGGUUUAAUUCGAUGCAACGCGAAGAACCUUACCUGGUCUUGACAUCCUGCGAACUUUCUAGAAAUAGAUUGGUGCCUUCGGGAACGCAGUGACAGGUGCUGCAUGGCUGUCGUCAGCUCGUGUCGUGAGAUGUUGGGUUAAGUCCCGUAACGAGCGCAACCCCUAUCUUUAUUUGCCAGCACAUUAUGGUGGGAACUAUAAGGAGACUGCCGGUGAUAAACCGGAGGAAGGCGGGGACGACGUCAAGUCAUCAUGGCCCUUACGACCAGGGCUACACACGUGCUACAAUGGGAAGGACAAAGAGCCGCGAAGCCGCGAGGUGUAGCUAAUCUCAUAAAUCUUUUCGUAGUCCGGAUUGGAGUCUGCAACUCGACUCCAUGAAGUCGGAAUCGCUAGUAAUCGUAGAUCAGAAUGCUACGGUGAAUACGUUCCCGGGUCUUGUACACACCGCCCGUCAUACCAUGGGAGUGGGUUGCACCAGAAGUGGCUAGUCUAACUUUGUGAGGACGGUCACCACGGUGUGAUUCAUGACUGGGGUAAAGUCGUAACAAGGUAACC